AGUUGUAGAAUCACUGGUGAAUAAGGGGUGGGCAAGUUCUGGUGUCAGCCGCCGCGGUAAAACCAGCACCUCGAGUGGUCAGGAGGUUUAUUGGGCCUAAAGCAUCCGUAGCCGGUUGCAUAAGUUUUCGGUUAAAUCUAUGCGCUUAACGUAUAGGCCGCCGAAAAUACUGUGCAGCUAGGGAGUGGGAGAGGUACACGGUACUCGAUAGGAAGGGGUAAAAUCCUUUGAUCUAUUGAUGACCACCUGUGGCGAAGGCGGUGUACCAGAACACGUUCGACGGUGAGGGAUGAAAGCUGGGGGAGCAAACCGGAUUAGAUACCCGGGUAGUCCCAGCUGUAAACGAUGCAGACUCGGUGAUGCAUUGGCUUGUGGCCAAUGCAGUGCCGCAGGGAAGCCGUUAAGUCUGCCGCCUGGGAAGUACGUACGCAAGUAUGAAACUUAAAGGAAUUGGCGGGGGAGCACCACAAGGGGUGAAGCCUGCGGUUCAAUUGGAGUCAACGCCAGAAAUCUUACCUGGGGAGACAGCAGAAUGAAGGUCAAGCUGAAGACUUUACCAGACACGCCGAGAGGUGGUGCAUGGCCGUCGCCAGCUCGUGCCGUGAGAUGUCCUGUUAAGUCAGGUAACGAGCGAGACCCCUGCGUCUAGUUGCUACCAUUACUCUCUGGAGCAGUGGAGCGAAUUAGACGGACCGCCACAGUUAAUGUGGAGGAAGGAAGGGGCCACGGCAGGUCAGUAUGCCCCGAAACCCUAGGGCUACACGCGGGCUGCAAUGGUAUUGACAUGUGUUCCGAAUCCGAAAGGAGGAGGCAAUCAUCAAACAUAUCUCAGUUACGACUGAGGGC
This 846-nucleotide ribosomal RNA is filed under the name uncultured archaeon. RNAcentral's name for it is "bacterial SSU rRNA". It matches the Rfam family "Archaeal small subunit ribosomal RNA", at positions 415 to 1261 of the family's 1478-position model. The record is from RNAcentral.